RNAcentral lists this ribosomal RNA (422 nucleotides) under uncultured prokaryote. RNAcentral's name for it is "bacterial SSU rRNA". It matches the Rfam family "Bacterial small subunit ribosomal RNA", at positions 355 to 774 of the family's 1533-position model. The record is from RNAcentral.
UGAGGAAUAUUGGUCAAUGGACGAGAGUCUGAACCAGCCAAGUAGCGUGAAGGAUGAAGGUUCUAUGGAUUGUAAACUUCUUUUAUAAGGGAAUAAAACCUCCCACGUGUGGGAGCUUGUAUGUACCUUAUGAAUAAGCAUCGGCUAACUCCGUGCCAGCAGCCGCGGUAAUACGGAGGAUGCGAGCGUUAUCCGGAUUUAUUUGGUUUAAAGGGAGCGCAGACGGGGGAUUAAGUCAGUUGUGAAAGUUUGGGGCUCAACCUUAAAAUUGCAGUUGAUACUGGUUCUCUUGAGUGCAGUUGAGGCAGGCGGAAUUCGUGGUGUAGCGGUGAAAUGCUUAGAUAUCACGAAGAACCCCGAUUGCGAAGGCAGCUUGCUAAACUGUAACUGACGUUCAUGCUCGAAAGUGUGGGUAUCAAACA